Molecule: ribosomal RNA, 422 nt
Filed under: uncultured Flavisolibacter sp.
Lineage: Bacteria; Pseudomonadati; Bacteroidota; Chitinophagia; Chitinophagales; Chitinophagaceae
Description: bacterial SSU rRNA
Rfam family: Bacterial small subunit ribosomal RNA
Source: RNAcentral
AGUAAGGAAUAUUGGUCAAUGGACGCAAGUCUGAACCAGCCAUGCCGCGUGAAGGAUGAAGGUCCUCUGGAUUGUAAACUUCUUUUAUAUGGGAAGAAAUCCACUUUUUCUUGAGUGGUUGACGGUACCAUAGGAAUAAGCACCGGCUAACUCCGUGCCAGCAGCCGCGGUAAUACGGAGGGUGCAAGCGUUAUCCGGAUUCACUGGGUUUAAAGGGUGCGUAGGAGGACAGGUAAGUCCGUGGUGAAAUCUCUGAGCUUAACUCAGAAACUGCCGUGGAUACUCUCUGUCUUGAAUAUCGUGGAGGUGAGCGGAAUAUGUCAUGUAGCGGUGAAAUGCUUAGAUAUGACAUAGAACACCAAUUGCGAAGGCAGCUCGCUACACGAAUAUUGACUCUGAGGCACGAAAGCGUGGGGAUCAAA